This 253-nucleotide ribosomal RNA is filed under the name uncultured bacterium. Its description in RNAcentral is "partial 16S ribosomal RNA". It matches the Rfam family "Bacterial small subunit ribosomal RNA", at positions 524 to 776 of the family's 1533-position model. The record is from RNAcentral.
CACGUAGGGCGCAAGCGUUGUCCGGAAUUAUUGGGCGUAAAGAGCUCGUAGGCGGACUGUUGCGUCCGCUGUGAAAAGCUGGGGCUUAACCCUGGCCUUGCAGUGGAUACGGGCAGACUAGAGGUAGGUAGGGGAGAAUGGAAUUCCCGGUGUAGCGGUGAAAUGCGCAGAUAUCAGGAAGAACACCCGUGGCUAAGGCGGCUCUCUAGUACGGUACUGACGCUGAGACGCGAAAGCGUGGGGAGCGAACAGG